GACGAACGCUGGCGGCGUGCUUAACACAUGCAAGUCGAACGAUGAACCCGGAGCUUGCUCCGGUGGAUUAGUGGCGAACGGGUGAGUAACACGUGAGUAACCUGCCCUUGACUCUGGGAUAACUGCGGGAAACUGUAGCUAAUACCGGAUACGACCCUCGGCGGCAUCGCCAGGGGGUGGAAAGAAUUUCGGUCAAGGAUGGACUCGCGGCCUAUCAGCUAGUUGGUGAGGUAACGGCUCACCAAGGCGACGACGGGUAGCCGGCCUGAGAGGUUGACAGGCCACACUGGGACUGGGACACGGCCCAGACUCCUACGGGAGGCAGCAGUGGGGAAUAUUGGACAAUGGGCGCAAGCCUGAUCCAGCCAUGCCGCGUGAGUGAUGAAGGCCUUAGGGUUGUAAAGCUCUUUCGUCCGGGACGAUAAUGACGGUACCGUAAGAAUAAGCACCGGCUAACUACGUGCCAGCCGCCGCCGUAA
This 479-nucleotide ribosomal RNA is filed under the name uncultured bacterium. Its description in RNAcentral is "partial 16S ribosomal RNA". It matches the Rfam family "Bacterial small subunit ribosomal RNA", at positions 28 to 523 of the family's 1533-position model. The record is from RNAcentral.